RNAcentral lists this ribosomal RNA (1333 nucleotides) under Lethal yellowing phytoplasma. RNAcentral describes it as "bacterial SSU rRNA". It matches the Rfam family "Bacterial small subunit ribosomal RNA", at positions 88 to 1420 of the family's 1533-position model. The record is from RNAcentral. Lineage: Bacteria; Bacillati; Mycoplasmatota; Mollicutes; Acholeplasmatales; Acholeplasmataceae.
UGGAGAGGUGACGACGGGUGAGUACACGUAAGCAACCUGCCUUUAAGACGAGAAUAACAAUUGGAAACAGUUGCUAAGGCUGGAUAGGAAAUAAAAAGGCAUCUUUUUACUUUUAAAAGACCUUUUUCGGAAGGUAUGCUUAAAGAGGGGCUUGCGUCACAUUAGUUAGUUGGUAGGGUAAAGGCCUACCAAGACGAUGAUGUGUAGCUGGACUGAGAGGUUGAACAGCCACAUUGGGACUGAGACACGGCCCAAACUCCUACGGGAGGCAGCAGUAGGGAAUUUUCGGCAAUGGAGGAAACUCUGACCGAGCAACGCCGCGUGAACGACGAAGUACUUCGGUAUGUAAAGUUCUUUUAUUGAAGAAGAAACAAUAGUGGAAAAACUAUCUUGACGUUAUUCAACGAAUAAGCCCCGGCUAACUAUGUGCCAGCAGCCGCGGUAAUACAUAGGGGGCGAGCGUUAUCCGGAAUUAUUGGGCGUAAAGGGUGCGUAGGCGGUUUAAUAAGUCUCUAGUUUAAUUUCAACGCUUAACGUUGUCCUGCUAGAGAAACUGUUUAACUAGAGUGAGAUAGAGGUAAGCGGAAUUCCAUGUGUAGCGGUAAAAUGUGUAAAUAUAUGGAGGAACACCAGAGGCGUAGGCGGCUUACUGGGUCUUUACUGACGCUGAUGCACGAAAGCGUGGGGAGCAAACAGGAUUAGAUACCCUGGUAGUCCACGCCGUAAACUAUGAGUACUAAGUGUCGGGGUUAAACUCGGUACUGAAGUUAACACAUUAAGUACUCCGCCUGAGUAGUACGUACGCAAGUAUGAAAUUUAAAGGAAUUGACGGGAUCCCGCACAAGCGGUGGAUCAUGUUGUUUAAUUCGAAGAUACACGAAAAACCUUACCAGGUCUUGACAUACUCUGCAAAGCUAUAGAAAUAUAGUGGAGGUUAUCAGGGAUACAGGUGGUGCAUGGUUGUCGUCAACUCGUGUCGUGAGAUGUUAGGUUAAGUUCUAAAACGAGCGCAACCCCUGUCGUUAAUUGCCAGCACGUUAUGGUGGGGACUUUAGCGAGACUGCCAAUGAAAAAUUGGAGGAAGGUGGGGAUUACGUCAAAUCAUCAUGCCCCUUAUGAUCUGGGCUACAAACGUGAUACAAUGGCUAUUACAAAGAGUAGCUGAAACGCGAGUUUUUGGCAAAUCUCAAAAAAAUAGUCUCAGUUCGGAUUGAAGUCUGCAACUCGACUUCAUGAAGUUGGAAUCGCUAGUAAUCGCGAAUCAGCAUGUCGCGGUGAAUACGUUCUCGGGGUUUGUACACACCGCCCGACAAACCACGAAAUACAUCAGCUC